UUGAACGCUGGCGGCAUGCCUUACACAUGCAAGUCGAACGGUAGAGGGGCGAACCCUUGAGAGUGGCGAACGGGUGAGUAAUAUAUCGGAACGUGCCCAGUCGUGGGGGAGUAACGCAGCGAAAGCUGCGCUAAUACCGCAUACGAUCUAUGGAUGAAAGCGGGGGAUCGCAAGACCUCGCGCGAUUGGAGCGGCCGAUAUCAGAUUAGGUAGUUGGUGGGGUAAAAGCCCACCAAGCCGACGAUCUGUAGCUG
Molecule: ribosomal RNA, 254 nt
Filed under: uncultured bacterium
Lineage: Bacteria
Description: partial 16S ribosomal RNA
Rfam family: Bacterial small subunit ribosomal RNA
Source: RNAcentral